GGUGCCCCCUUGCUGUGUCCCCUGUGCGCGAAAUGAGCGGGGUUGAGGGAAAGAAAAGGGAAUUUGCUGUGCCUUACCUCGGGGUAAUCGGAGGAGGGUUAGCAUCUCCUCAGCCAUUUUGUCGUGGAGGAAGAGUGAGAGCCUUCCCUCCCUCGUCGCGGUGCCGCAGGGUCAGCGCCUGAGAUCUUUCCGUGUCUUUCCGCCGGCUUCCCAGAGAGACGAAGCGUUGUGCGCUGCUCGGCUGCGAUCUUUCGGGGUACGUGGCCCCAUGACGUCGUUUUGUCAAGGUUCGGUGCCAGAGAAGGAGUUGCGAUGGUCAGGUCCUAGCACAAGGAGGAAGCUGCAUCUACUUUCUGAUGAAUUCAUGACAAUUCUUAAUGGGAGCUUGUCAUCAAAACAAUUUGAGAAGGAAAUUCCAAAAGUGUUUUGUUUUAUGUAAUUUGGCUGGCCUCUGCUGAGGAAAGCCACAACAGGCUAAUAAUUCUUGCCAGCGCUCAGACAAAAAGGCUGAACAGCAGCAGGCCUUGUCUUUCCUGGUCUGUCACUCAAAUCUUUCUUUUCCGUUUUCUUUUUUUUUCCCCCCACGGUCUUUGAUAUUUUGCCAAACUUCUACAAUUAAAUACAAUACACGUUUUUUUUCUCAUGCAGCAAUAAAGACUUGUAGUUUUCCUACUGAUGGAUAUCUACCUCUCAGCUGCUAGCCAGGCAACAAACUAAAAUUCUCCCGUAUUUGUGACCUUAAAUUAAAUCUGAGCGUUCAACAACUGCUAAAGUUUUCUGUUUAUUUGCUUCCAAACUUGACAGGCAUAGUCUCUCCCUGCUGCAGCAGCUUUGUAAAGUGACAGGAUGAGUGAAAAGUAAGGGGGAAGAGCUAUUCCCUUGCUAAUUAAACUGACUUGAUGUUGUGGCUAAUUCUGCCUAUUGAGAAUAUAGAUUUGCUGACUCGAGAUACUGUCUUUAUAGGGCCAUGCUUAUGAUAUUUUGGGCUCAAGUUUCCCAGAGAGUAAGCCCAGGCUAAAGUCAUUUAGUUCAAUAGUUUUUAUCAGCUGCUUUUAAUUUUGUUGUAAAAACCAGUUCAAAAAGUGUUUGAUGCCUUCUCAGUAGGAAAUAGUAUCUUCAAUGUCUAGCCUUUCCUGAACACAUGACGCUGUCCGCAUAUCAAGUGGUUUUGUUGGAUUCUGUUGCAAAUACUCACCUAUAAAGUUACUGUACCGUUGUCCAUUUUAUAGCACUGAAUUAUUCAAUAUUAUCAUCCACUGCCAUUCUAGAAGAUAUCUUUCACUGUGAAUUAUUAAAAGGUGUACCUCUGCUUUCUUAA
Molecule: non-coding RNA, 1318 nt
Organism: Struthio camelus australis
Lineage: Eukaryota; Metazoa; Chordata; Aves; Struthioniformes; Struthionidae
Source: RefSeq, a predicted model, not a curated record